AGUGAACGCUGGCGGUAGGCCUAACACAUGCAAGUCGAACGGCAGCACAGUAAGAGCUUGCUCUUACGGGUGGCGAGUGGCGGACGGGUGAGGAAUACAUCGGAAUCUACUUUUUCGUGGGGGAUAACGUAGGGAAACUUACGCUAAUACCGCAUACGACCUACGGGUGAAAGCAGGGGAUCUUCGGACCUUGCGCGAUUGAAUGAGCCGAUGUCGGAUUAGCUAGUUGGCGGGGUAAAGGCCCACCAAGGCGACGAUCCGUAGCUGGUCUGAGAGGAUGAUAAGCCACACUGGAACUGGGACACGGUCCAGACUCCUACGGGAGGCAGCAGUGGGGAAUAUUGGACAAUGGGCGCAAGCCUGAUCCAGCCAUACCGCGUGGGUGAAGAAGGCCUUCGGGUUGUAAAGCCCUUUUGUUGGGAAAGAAAAGCAGCAGGUUAAUACCACGCUGUUCUGACGGUACCCAAAGAAUAAGCACCGGCUAACUUCGUG
RNAcentral lists this ribosomal RNA (492 nucleotides) under uncultured bacterium. RNAcentral's name for it is "partial 16S ribosomal RNA". It matches the Rfam family "Bacterial small subunit ribosomal RNA", at positions 29 to 507 of the family's 1533-position model. The record is from RNAcentral.